Molecule: long non-coding RNA, 6625 nt
Organism: Triticum aestivum (bread wheat)
Lineage: Eukaryota; Viridiplantae; Streptophyta; Magnoliopsida; Poales; Poaceae
Exons: 10
Source: RefSeq, a predicted model, not a curated record
CCAGCGAUAGAAAAACCGUGCGGCCGCACGUACCAGCGACGAGUCUCUACUCCUAAUGGAGCAGCAGAUCGGUCUCCAUCGCCAACCAGACCUUCGCACGCCCGAUCCAGCCCUACGCCCCCUCCACGGCCGAUCCAUCCCCGUGCCGCGGCCGAUCCAUGCCCUAUGCCGCCGCCGAUGCCUCCUCCUCCACCUCCAUUCCCAAGCGAGGGCGCCCGCGGCCGCGGUCUUCUCCCCCAGCCACCAUGGCUGCAGAUCCACUCACGGCCGGUCGUCUAAGCUGCAAGCAUGGAUGGAUGGAUCCAGGAAGGUAUCCUUCCUCCCUGGGUGGAGCGAGCUGCACAUCCCAUUCGGCCCUCUGUAGUCGGCCAUCUCCGCCUCCUCCUCGCCGUCGCCGCCGCUGGGGAUCGCGUCUUCACCAAGCGCAAGCUCCGCCCCAUCCGACCGACCGCAAAGGGGUUGUCCAUUGUAAAUUUUCAAGGAGAUUCAAAUGUUCCUCUUCUGGAUGAUUGAAGGGAUACUUGAAGCUAGGGCAAUCCAAGUAAGAUAGCUUCAUCCUCAGGCAACAGGUUUAUGUUAUCUUAUCAUGGAGUCAUUUUUAAGUUUGUGCCCAACGCCUUCAUCCUUAGAAUGGCUGCCCAGAUGGCAAGCCACCGUACUCAGGCGACUGCCGCGCUAGCAGGGUGCUCCAACUUUUGAUGCUGGCGAAGCUUUUGGAAUGAUGGCUACAUAAUUUGUUAGUCUCCGUUGGAAGCUUAAUUAAACUGAGCUUCUCUGAAGGUUCAGAUGUGUGGCAAAGGAUUUCAAUUUUCCUGUUUACACAAAGGAAACUUGAGGAAGGUUCAGAUUUCUCAUGCUCGGUGCUGUGCUCUCAAGGUUACAUAGACAAAAAUGCCUCCUAUUUACACAAUGGCAACCCGACGAAGGUUCAGAUUUCUCAUGACUGGUUCAAUGGGAUGACGGGGCGGGUCGGGAGGCGGGGAAAGCCGUCCAUGGCGAUCCUGGUGGCGUUGCUAAUGGCGUUAGUGGCACUGCCUCUCCUCAUGGUGCCCGACAUGCUCUCUAUGCCAGGCUCCAACGGCGUGGAUCGCGGCGCCGCCCUGUCGCUCCCACGCCCGUGCUUCAGCAGAUCCGUGUUUGAGUCGUGCAUACCUUUAGCCGCCUCCCCUCCAAUGUCCACGACUCUGAUAUACCGUGUUUGUUAGUCUUGACUGGUGUUUGUUCUCCGUAUUGUUGUGCAGGAGGCUGGAGAACAGCAGGGAGAAAAGGGAGUCGUGGAUGGAGACUUGUCCUACAUGGCCGAGCGAGAUCGAGGCUAGCCGCCGGUAAUGUUCUUCUCUCGUGCAAGUUCCGCACUGCAUUGAAGCAUCCAACACAUGAUGUAGCUACGUUACAGGUGGGACAUCAGCCAAGUAUGUUUCGAGGUGAGACAUCCAUCAAGUUUGUUUGGAGAAAUUGUGCAGUCCAGCUCCUGCGUGCUGGUCACCGAGCUCCACUGUGUCCAGCUCAUCCGACCAUGUGCUCCACUACAUCUAGGUCAGCCGAUCUUGUGGCAGAGCUACACUGACGCAAGAGCAAAUAGUUUUACAAUUUCUUUGUUGUUCCUUUGUACUGGAUAACUGUGCAUUUUUAGAGGUGUGAAGAUGUAAUGCAAUAACAGUAACUGGGCGUAGGCACAUCCGUCUCGAUAAGAAUUAUGGGAACGGACAAAGGCAAGGCAUUCCAAUGUAAGAAAUGGAUGAAGGCAAGGUAUGUCAUUCUAAAAAAGACAAGGCAUACCAGGAUGCUGCAUUGCUUAAUGUCCAGUUCUCUACGCUUUCCCUAUAGCAACCUUUUUUAGAUCUUAUGAGUUGUGUUUUCCUAACAAAAAAAUGUCCAUAUGGAUUCACUGAAACAAGAUUAUAUUAUCAGCAAUUCUGUUUGCAUGUAAUUAAUUAGUGAUAGCCUAUGCCUCACACGACUGUUUUUCCAGUUCAGUUGUAUCCUUCAAUAUGGGUGCAAUGAAGUGUGGAUAGACAAACACAUUUCUUUUACUGUGAUAUCAUUGACCUUGUUGAUUUAUAUUUUCAAAACUGAUAGGAAUGAAAUCCAUAUGAAUCUUGUGAUGCCAAAGCUCUAAGUGCUGAUGAUUUAAAUUCCUAUUAAAAAAAUCCUUAAAUAGAAAGUGGACCUUAUAGCGGAGAAUAAUGUGUAAGCUACAGGUGGAGUCCAUCUCAAGGGAAGUGAAACCGAAAACAUAGACCACAUUAGAGUCGAAGAUAAGGUGAAUGCAAUCACAGAUCCACAUGAGAGUCAGAUAAGAUUGGUGAAUGCAAUCAGAACUGUCAAAUGUGUGUUUUCCAAUUUUUCAUGUCGCAUGAUCUCUGCCCACUUUACUAGAAGAAGAGCCUUCCUACAUGGUGAAGGUGGAUAAGGAGCCAUUCAACUUAGAGGAAGUGUCUCAAUAAUGUGUGUGUUACCAAGGUUGAAUUGUCUACUCGCUCUCUUGGAGGUUAUGUUCCUUCCCGUCUAUUAAGCUGUUAGUAUCCUUAUCACCGUGUCUGGCUCCACUGAAAAGCUCACACCGCCAUGCUUGAAGAACAUAAAUGGUGGUACAUUAUUCUGAUAUAUUUUAUGUGCCGCCAUUGUGGUAGAGCCCGGCAUGAAUGGUGGGUCCAGUAUAUAAGCAGGUGGUACUAGCACUAAGAUAGGAAGGUCAUUUCCGCCCUUGUCCUUUGUUGAUGGCCUGCCAAGGCGGCGUCGAUUACUGGUUCAAUUUGAACACGAGUUAGUGGAUUUUAUUAUAAAAGUGAGGUUUAAGAGUGGGUGAUGGUUAUUUGGGUUGAUAUGUUCAGUUAUGGCCGUCUGAGCGAAAUAAUUUCCAUACCUUAGAAAAUAUGGCAAAGUGCAUUUAAUUAGAGAUGUCAUUGCAGCAAAUUGCAUGAGUGAGCGGUUCAUAUUUUUUCAUUAAGUCAUACAUUUUUUUUGGUUAGGAUGAAAGGGUAUAUGCAUUGGGGGGUUGUUUCAAGAGUUAAUAAUGGACACGGUGGUGUAUCAGUUGCAUGCCAACAACUAUAUCAUAUUUUUGUUUCAUCGUAAUACACGACAUUCAUUUCUGUGUUACAACAUGGCAAUGGAUCAGGAGACGUCGGAUCCUCCUUCUUGGCUCAGGGGUGUCAUGGGAGGCGCAUGCCUCGCCCCCCUUGGUGGCGGUGGGAUCGGCGUGAGCACGGGAAGGGAGGAUUAGGGCAGAGAGUAGGGCGGUUGGUGGUGGACUCUUUAUUAGCGGUCCGUGGGGAAGUACGGUGCGAAGGAGAGAUGUGUCAUUGCGAUGGUGAUGCGGGCGUCAUCUACCUUUAAAGGAGAGUGCUCCAGUGAGAAAUGUCCUGCUACAACAAGAAAUCAAGCAGGAAGGGAGGGUCCUGCAGGAAAAGGGAAGGGUGCGUCAUGGGGUGGAAUUUUUUGUUGGGACUUUGGACCGCCUGUUUAAGAUAACAUGACAGAUAGUACGGACAACCAUAUGUCUCCCCCAUGGGCUGGAUUUGGGGGUGGAUGGACUGUCCAGAUGGUUGGAUUUUGGAUAGCCCGUUAGGGGCUUGUUUGAUGCUCAAACACGCCCGGAUGUAAGAGAAAUGAAUUUCAACCUUGGAAACGGCCUUAAUCGUUUAUUUGAUUUAUUUAUAUGCACUAUAGCUCGUAUCAUACAUAAAGAAGCACUCGAAAUAAAGCAAACACGGCUGAACUUAAUCAUUUGUUUGAUUCAUUUAUACAUAUUGUAGCCCGUACCAUACAUACAGAAGCACUCGAAAUAAAGCAAGCCGAUUGGGAUUUCCGAUAUAUCUGAACAACAACGUUUAUAUCUGUAUGGUAUUCCAAUGAGUAUAGGCGGGUAACAAAUUCGGAAUACAAACAUUUAUUUUUGUCAUCACUAUAUAAUAUAAUAUUAAUUUUGGAAAUUGCGGGGAUGUGCCUCGCUAUUUUGGUUUUCAUUUUAUGCUCUGGUGGAACAGUAAAGAACCGGUUAAGCCGCUUUGCGCGAUGCGUAUUGUCUGUUAAAUGUUUGAAGACCUUGGAUGUGAAGUACUCGUGCUAACUACAUUUCUUUGCUUGUGUGGGAUGAGUAUGAAUUGAGGAGCAGUUUUUAUUAUAUUUUCUAAAACAUGGUGCAAAUGAAGCUAAAGAAUCUUUUCCAUUGGGCGAGAAUUUCUUAAGCGCAUCAAGUAGUAGAUCUUAAUAAUUUGUAAUGGAUUUUUAAUUGGAUCAUUGCUCUAUAUGUAUACAACAUCAAUUUGCAUUUUUGUUAUCAAUUAUUGUAAGUGAAGUGGACUUCAAUUAUAUCUAUAUGUAUACAUCAUCAAUUUGCAUUUUUGUUAUCAAUUAUUGUAAGUGAAGUGGACUUCAAUUAUUAUGCAAUUGUGUUUGUGCUAUAUUGUCUCUACAUGUGAAAUUUAAUAUGCAUUAAUUUUAUAUAACACCAGCAAAAUAUUUCAAAAGCCCGUAGCAACGCACGGGCAGUCUACUAGUCCCAGUAGGUGUACUACAAGCAAGCUUUCGGAAAUUAAGUUUCAAGGUCGUGCUGCAAAUAUAGCUAGAGAACUUCUUUCUGUCUAUUUUUCUGCACAUGUAGACUGAAAGUGAAGUAACGCUUCUAGAGUUUAAUAGUUUUAACUAGUGAAUGUGUUAGUUUUAUGAAAAUAGAUAUAUGGGGUUUGAUCUGGAAUUUUCUUCUGUAAUUUUCUAUUGCCAGUUUGCCACUGCUCCCAGUCAUGUGAUUCAGGAAUUUAAUUAUCAGUAGUUGUCUAUCAUAGUAGAAAUCCCUUCAAGUGUUGCAACCUUUAUUAUUGAAUUGAAAAACAUUUGCCUGAUAAUUUAAUUUUCUAGAGUAAAAUGAGAGCAAUUGGGUUUUGUACUGUCGCCCCUACUGGAAAUUGUAUGGCAUCAUGACUUAUUGAAUUACCAGAUCCCCUGUUCUUAAAACUGUUUUUAUUUAGCUUAAUGCUUAAGAACAAAUUCAACCAAAGUUAUGUUCACGGAGAUGGUAAAUAUCUUAAGAUGUGCCUGUGGUUCAGAUUUUAGAAAAUACCUACUCGCAGUGUCACAUGCAAGUAAUAUGACCCUGGCAGUACAGUACCUUGUCAUGCAGGGCCACGAGUAAUAUAAGACUAUUGUUUUGUUGCUGAUAAUUAGAACGUUUGGAUGCUCGUUGUUUAGGUUCUGCGUCCAGUUUGGUAGUAGUGCUGGUGUGUGUGGCUUAGUUACUGAUGUUUUGAGGUACCCCUGGAGGGGGACGAACUUGAGAUAUGUGAUGUUUUCAGUAAUGGAAAUUGGGAGAUAUGCUCCUAAGUAGAUUAAAAAAAGAAUUGGGUCAUGGGGCUAGCUGACGACCAUGCUCUUUUCUCCUAUAUGUAAUUCUUACAAACUAUUCCCUAAUUUUCAUUUGAUGCUUUCACUAAAAUAAUAUUUUGGAUUGUUUGUUUUGUGAUCAGUGUGCAUCUUGUUUGUCCUCUCCACCAAGCAGCGUCGACUACUCCAUACAAGCACAUAAGCUUAUGCCCUUAUGAAGUUAUGAUUAUAUAUUUACCAAUGACUAUUAUGGUUGAUAGCUUUAAAGUCUUUGCUUCUAUAUGCAGCUGAGAAUGACUUAUAAGUUCAUGGCAAAAGCAGCAACAUCAGUACGUAACCACAAGCAAGCUGAGGGGGUAAUAAUCUUGGUAUUUAAGUCUUAGAUUCAGUAUUUUGCUUUUUGGAUACAUGAACAUUGAAACUUGUUUAGCAUUUCGUUUCUUAUAUGCUUCAUGCCAAUAAAACUGCAGUAAAAUAUGAGCCGAGAUUUUGCUUGGCAUGUGUAUGUAUGCAUGCCCUGAAUUUGCUUAGCAUUUUUAUGCAUACAACUAUUGGAAGCUUUUACAUGUCCUGGAACUGAGCUUUUGCAUGCCCUGUGUUUUCUGAAGCUGAGUCUUUUGUUAUUGGCUAGUACUUGAAACAGAGUCGCAGGCCUCCUGCCAUAUAACCAUUUAUGAAGUGCAUAUGUGAUGCCUUAUCUUGUAUUCCUACAAAGAGUCCAGUAUUUUUUUCAUGUGUAAAAAGUGGCUGACCUGGCAUUACACUGUUAAGUGUUUUGUACGCAUUAUGAAUCUUGUUGUAGAUACACACUGAGCUGAAAAUGUUGCUAGCAGAAAUAGGUUUUCUGUUAGCUACGCAUCUGGUUUAAAACAUGGUAUGACUACUUGCUUUGGAAUAGUAACGCCUUGAUAUUAUCUGAUCCUAUCUCAUGCAUAUUUUAGUUAUUUCCAGACAAAGCUUUAGGAACCGAGUUCACUACAACUCGAAGUCUUGUGCAUGGAGGAGAAUUGAGAUAUUUGCGCAUUCUGUACUAGUCAAAAGGUUGGCAUCCUGGUUGGAAGAUCUUGUGUGCUACUCUCUACACGAUGUUCCUUCUACAUGAUAGCACUUGACGUCUACAUGAUAGCACUUGAAGUCUACAUGAUGUUUCUUGUAUUCAUAGCUCAAACCAUUUGUUUAUCUUAGUUUGAACAAAAAAUAUUAUUGUCUUACAUGUAAAUAAUGUUUACUAAUGUAGCUGGAUGCUACUGAACACAUGUACGAAAGUCAAAAUACUAAGUGUUAGUCAUUAUGUGUUUGAGAA